RNAcentral lists this ribosomal RNA (460 nucleotides) under uncultured bacterium. RNAcentral's name for it is "partial 16S ribosomal RNA". It matches the Rfam family "Bacterial small subunit ribosomal RNA", at positions 338 to 795 of the family's 1533-position model. The record is from RNAcentral.
CCUACGGGUGGCAGCAGUGAGGAAUAUUGGUCAAUGGGAGAGAUCCUGAACCAGCCAAGCCGCGUGAGGGAAGACGGCCCUAUGGGUUGUAAACCUCUUUUGUAGGGGAACAAAACCCGGGACGUGUCCCGGACUGCGUGUAUCCGAAGAAAAAGCAUCGGCUAACUCCGUGCCAGCAGCCGCGGUAAUACGGAGGAUUCGAGCGUUAUCCGGAUUUAUUGGGUUUAAAGGGUGCGUAGGCGGUUCGGUAAGUCAGGGGGGAAAUUGGGGGGCUCAACCCCGUCAGGGCCGUUGAACCUGGCAGACUUGAGUGGGCGAGAAGCAGGCGGAAUGCGCGGUGUAGCGGUGAAAUGCAUAGAUAUCGCGCAGAACGCCGAUUGCGAAGGCAGCGUGCCGGCGCCAGACUGACGCUGAGGCACGAAAGCGUGGGGAUCGAACAGGAUUAGAUACCCUGGUAGUC